Molecule: long non-coding RNA, 366 nt
Organism: Myotis davidii
Lineage: Eukaryota; Metazoa; Chordata; Mammalia; Chiroptera; Vespertilionidae
Exons: 3
Source: RefSeq, a predicted model, not a curated record
UGGAAGACAAUGUGGGAUGGGGCCCACGCCCCUGUCUGAGGUACAGUCACUGCCCUUGCCCCCCUGCCCCUGCUCUGUCCUCGACCCCCAACCCCCCCCAAACUCUGGGUGGUGUGGCUCAGGGUGGGUGUUUGCAGAGGGUCUCCUGGGAGUUGGAGCUGGUGACUCCAUCUUGGUCCGGGCUCCGGAUGUCGGGGUGGGGUAUUCCUACAACCAGAGGCUACAGCCCCUCAGCGCCGCCUCCUGACAACGGUUGCCCACCCUCGGGGGAACCACAGCUGGUCACUGGUUUCAGCUGGAGCCAGGGGGCUAUUGCUGGUCCAUCGCUGGUGUGUGUGUGUGUGUGUGUGGGUGUGAGUGUGUGUG